GCUUCCGUCGUCUAAUGGAUAAGGCUCUGGUUUCCGGAACCAGCGAUCUAGGUUCGAUUCCUAGCGGGAGUACCA
Molecule: transfer RNA, 75 nt
Filed under: Verrucomicrobiaceae bacterium
Lineage: Bacteria; Pseudomonadati; Verrucomicrobiota; Verrucomicrobiia; Verrucomicrobiales; Verrucomicrobiaceae
Description: tRNA-Arg
Rfam family: tRNA
About the family: Transfer RNA (tRNA) molecules are approximately 80 nucleotides in length. Their secondary structure includes four short double-helical elements and three loops (D, anti-codon, and T loops).
Source: RNAcentral